Molecule: unclassified non-coding RNA, 690 nt
Filed under: Hevea brasiliensis (rubber tree)
Lineage: Eukaryota; Viridiplantae; Streptophyta; Magnoliopsida; Malpighiales; Euphorbiaceae
Source: RNAcentral
GGUUUGGAAAAGACAGCAUAGAGGUAAUUAUAUUGUUGAUAUUUGUGUUUAAGAUAAUUGAAAGUGUAUGUUAAUAUUAAUGACAGAUACAGAUCAAUAUCACAAGUAACAUCAUAUGAACUACUGAAUUGCUUCUGUUAACGUUAUAGAGCAUACUUAUCUAUUUAAAAACCAAAAACAAACAUCUUUCUUAUGGUCAGGGUAUGAGUUUGUUCUUAUGGGAAUGUGAAAAAGUUGGUGGUUAUCAGUUGCCCUGUUGGAUAUGACUCAUUUAUACUGCAUAUUUUAGUACACCAAGGUGGUGCUUAGGUCUCUUAUUUUUCAUUUUGUCCCCCAUUUCUUAAUUAAGACUGGUAGAAAUCAGUGCUUCAUUGAUCUGCUUUUUCCUUGCUUACCUGAAUGCACAUGAUGGCUUUUGGUCUUCCCUCAUCCUGGACACUGACUGGACCACAUAAUUUCUGACGAGUACUGAUGAGAUGUUAUUUUUCCAGUUAAAUUUGUUGCAGCAUCUGUGCAUCACUUAGUUGGUGAAUUUCUUGAACUGUGGGCUAUGUGGCUUAAUCAAUUUGGCACACACAUUUUAGUUUGUUCUUUUACUAUAUGAAGUAUUUGAUUUUUAAAAUGUGUCUUUUUUUACAAUUGCACUGUUCUUUGUUUCCUAUCGAGGUAAGAUUUUGUUCUGCAACUUUG